CGCAUGUUGAGUCCUAACCCCUAGAACCUCAGAGUGUGACUCUAUCUGAAGGUAGGGCCCAGAGAGAUUUUACUGAGCAUCCUGGAUUUUUAUUUGCUACCCUACCAGCGUCGUGGGGAGUCCAGGGCACUCCGCAUAAAGACACUUUGAGAGAAUUUUCCUCCACAUCCUUCAGGAAAUCUGGACCAAAAGCUGGCCAGAGGCAGGAGCACCCCACAUCCCUCAGCCCUGAGCAGAAGCAGGCUUCCCAGGCCCACCUUGUCCUAACCCUGGUACCCACGAUAGCACCAGAGACUGCAAUCUCCAAGGUUAGGAAGAGUUUGCAUUAUAAAAUAAUGGGUGUGGGAACCUCCUCUCUCCCCUCCACCUGGAUUUUAAAGAAGUGAUAGCAGAUUUGGACACAGCCCAUGGCACCCACAAAUCCAAAAAAGAGGUAGGAUACCAUAAUUAAGAGCAUGAGCUUUGGGGUCAUAUAGACCUGUG
This 483-nucleotide long non-coding RNA is filed under the name Equus caballus (horse). RNAcentral describes it as "lncRNA (ENSECAG00000057224.1)". The record is from RNAcentral. Lineage: Eukaryota; Metazoa; Chordata; Mammalia; Perissodactyla; Equidae.